AAACGAACAACUACUCAACAAA
Molecule: unclassified non-coding RNA, 22 nt
Filed under: Dictyostelium discoideum
Lineage: Eukaryota; Evosea; Eumycetozoa; Dictyosteliales; Dictyosteliaceae
Source: RNAcentral